This 297-nucleotide unclassified non-coding RNA is filed under the name fungal sp. RNAcentral's name for it is "partial internal transcribed spacer region". The record is from RNAcentral. Lineage: Eukaryota; Fungi.
CUUGGUCAUCAAUGUGCUGAUGCUGGUGUACCCGGUCGAGGGGAUCAAGAACUGGCAGCUGAAUGGGCAGCCCUGAUCUGACCGCACUGACUCGACGGGUGACGAGGAUUGCCGCUGAUUUCCCAGCUGCGGUCGGCGCGCCCGGAUGGCCUUGUCGAAGGUGACGCCGGGCAGGCGCCCCCGGUUUUCAUCGGUUCAGUUGGUUCUCCUUGGCCGUGCCCUGCCAGCGCGGGACCUCGACGAUGCCCUUGCCCUGGUGGAAGUCGGUCAGGUCGAUGGUGAAGUGGCCGCCGUAGG